CGCCCGCUCAGAAACUCAAAGGAAUUGACGGGGGCCCGCACAAGCGGAGGAACAUGUGGUUUAAUUCGAUGAUACGCGAGGAACCUUACCCGGGCUUGAAAUGCAUCUGACCGGCCUUGAAAGAGGCACUCCCUUCGGGGCAGAUGUGUAGGUGCUGCAUGGUUGUCGUCAGCUCGUGCCGUGAGGUGUCGGCUUAAGUGCCAUAACGAGCGCAACCCUCAUCAUUAGUUACCAUCAGGUAAGGCUGGGGACUCUAAUGAGACUGCCAUCGUAAGAUGUGAGGAAGGUGGGGAUGACGUCAAAUCAGCACGGCCCUUACGUCCGGGGCGACACACGUGUUACAAUGGGUGGUACAAAGGGCAGCUACCUGGCGACAGGAUGCUAAUCUCGAAAACCGCUCUCAGUUCGGAUCGGAGUCUGCAACUCGACUCCGUGAAGCUGGAUUCGCUAGUAAUCGCGCAUCAGCCACGGCGCGGUGAAUACGUUCCCGGGCCUU
This 496-nucleotide ribosomal RNA is filed under the name uncultured Proteiniphilum sp. RNAcentral's name for it is "bacterial SSU rRNA". It matches the Rfam family "Bacterial small subunit ribosomal RNA", at positions 887 to 1382 of the family's 1533-position model. The record is from RNAcentral. Lineage: Bacteria; Pseudomonadati; Bacteroidota; Bacteroidia; Bacteroidales; Dysgonomonadaceae.